UGGGGAAUAUUGGACAAUGGGCGAAAGCCUGAUCCAGCCAUGCCGCGUGUGUGAAGAAUGUCUUCGGAUUGUAAAGCACUUUAAGUUGGGAGGAAGGGCAGUAAGCGAAUACCUUGCUGUUUUGACGUUACCGACAGAAUAAGCACCGGCUAACUCUGUGCCAGCAGCCGCGGUAAUACAGAGGGUGCAAGCGUUAAUCGGAAUUACUGGGCGUAAAGCGCGCGUAGGUGGUUCGUUAAGUUGAAUGUGAAAGCCCCGGGCUCAACCUGGGAACUGCAUCCAAAACUGGCGAGCUAGAGUAGGGCAGAGGGUGGUGGAAUUUCCUGUGUAGCGGUGAAAUGCGUAGAUAUAGGAAGGAACACCAGUGGAGAAGGCGACCACCUGGGCUCAUACUGACACUGAGGUGCGAAAGCGUGGGGAGCAAACAGG
Molecule: ribosomal RNA, 429 nt
Filed under: Pseudomonadota bacterium
Lineage: Bacteria; Pseudomonadati; Pseudomonadota
Description: Proteobacteria bacterium partial 16S ribosomal RNA
Rfam family: Bacterial small subunit ribosomal RNA
Source: RNAcentral